Molecule: ribosomal RNA, 195 nt
Filed under: uncultured Actinomycetes bacterium
Lineage: Bacteria; Bacillati; Actinomycetota; Actinomycetes
Description: uncultured actinobacterium partial 16S ribosomal RNA
Source: RNAcentral
CACGUAGUUAGCCGGCGCUUCUUCUGCAGGUACCGUCACUUUCGCUUCUUCCCUACUGAAAGAGGUUUACAACCCGAAGGCCGUCAUCCCUCACGCGGCGUCGCUGCAUCAGGCUUUCGCCCAUUGUGCAAUAUUCCCCACUGCUGCCUCCCGUAGGAGCAGUGGGGAAUAUUGGACAAUGGGCGAAAGCCUGAU